AAGGAACUCACCAAUCACGGCGAGCAGCUACCAGAGGCGAGACGAAGGGGUGACCGGAGAGAAAAUGAAGGCGGAGGCGAGGUCAAGAAGAUGACGGCACACGAACCAGAAGCCACGAAGCUGCUGCUGCUUCUGCUUGUGUGCGAGUGUGAGACGAGGGGAUUGAGAGACGAGUCUCUCAAGUGGGUGUGAGAGGGGGAGUGGAAAAAUUAGGUUUCUUUUUUCAAAAA
Molecule: non-coding RNA, 230 nt
Organism: Arachis ipaensis
Lineage: Eukaryota; Viridiplantae; Streptophyta; Magnoliopsida; Fabales; Fabaceae
Source: RefSeq, a predicted model, not a curated record